Zonotrichia albicollis (white-throated sparrow) is the source of this 1280-nucleotide non-coding RNA. NCBI's taxonomy places the organism in Eukaryota, Metazoa, Chordata, Aves, Passeriformes, Passerellidae. The record is from RefSeq and is a predicted model, not a curated record.
CCCUGGGUGUUGUUAUUUUCAUAUUUCUAGAGUCCCAUACUGUUGUUAUUAUAUUCUUAAAGUCCAUACCUUCUAGCUGGUUAUCUACCAUGCAGUUCUUCUCUGCAGCACAGCUCCUCGUGGCUUCACAGGAGCUCCUCCAGGGCUCUCAGCCCACCCCUUUUAUCCCAGUUACCUUUACGAGCCACAGCUGCUGCCCAACUAAGGACUUCGCAGCUGUGGCUCAUUUAGAAUAGCUGGGACCCACUUAUCCAAUCCAUAGGACUCUCACUACACCUGGGUACCUCAACACCUCUGCAGAGGCUGCAAACCAGCAGGUCUGUGCUCACAGACACUACAGGCUGGAAUCCUGAAGCUGCUGAACCCAGGAAUUCACCAUUGUCUCCAGGUCUUCUUCCAGCCUGCCCCUUUAUCCUCACAGCAAUCAUUGUUCCCUGCCUGUCAAAACCGAGCCCAGCAGGAUUCCCUACACCAACCUGACCUGGUUACAAUACCUCCUGGAACUGAUCCUCCAGCUGUCUGUGAAAUUUCUGUAGAAGUGCCACUUCUUUAUGCAGUACCAUUAGCAGAAGUCUAAUAAAUAAUGCACAGGAAUAACACAAUCCCCAAUAAACAAUGUACUGCUUCUUCUCCUAUUCUCUUAAGUGAGCAACAUGGAUCCUAAAUCUGAUCUCCCCCUCCAGUUGUUACCCAAUCCUCAUCUCAGCUACCAAACUCUCUCCUCCCUCCCCUAGCAAGCCUGUCAUUCCUUUCUUCCCAGCUGCCAGAGGCUUUGCUGCUGCCUCUUCCAGCCCAAACACACUGGCAGACAUGAAUGCAAGCGUCCACACAACACAAAUGCAAACAUCCAGGCACGUCUCAGGUUGCAUGCUGAAAAUGCACAUUUCCAUACACUGCAGUAGCUGAAUAUCAUAUUUGUUUGGGUAUCUGCUGGAACCCCUGAAGGAAGAGGUGAGUUGGAGGAGAUCUUCUAAUGAAAACAAAAUCACUGAACCCGAAGUCUGGGCAAGACAGUGGUAGAUAUAUGAUCAGGGCAGUCUUCAGCAGAAGCACACAUUGGGCCCAGGGGGCCUCUGAACGGCUUCUUCAGCGUUAAAAGGGAGGAAUUCAGGAGCUUUAGAUCAGAAGUACAUCCCAGACGGGCAUUAGACUCUAAUAAAUAAGGUGCUUUACACUGACAGAGUGCCAGAAAGCUUCCAACAUCCUCCCCAAGGUCUGCAUACAGGCAUCUCUACAGUCACUGGUGGUUUGGAUGGCAGAAACCAAGCAAACAAUCUCCC